UUGACACGGGUUUUAUUUCUCCUGGCAUGUGUCUUCCUUCUCCAGGUUAAAGGGCACAGAAGUUUGACUGCAGAUCCACAGCACAUCCAAGCACAUGUGGAGGCAAGGGGUUUUGCAGAAAGACAUGGGACUGAAAGAGAUUCCUUUAGGAGGCAAGAUUACUGUUUUAUCACAAGUGCCCAAUCAUCGGACUGAAGCCGAAGACUUGGCAAUCACGAAAUGGACUUCCAGUUUUGCUAUACAAACGACUGUGGGUCUCGCUUUUGCCUCCUGGGAAGCUGAUUGAUGCUCCUUGCUGUAUGCUCCUAAGGUGUGCAAACAUCUGGAGGUAUGUGGUGGGGUGCUUGAUACGAAGAGUUUGCCCAUUCCCUUUUGGGUGUCUACAAAAAGUAAAACACAUUUUCACUAGUUCUUUGGGUAGCUUUCUUAUUUUCCUCUUAUGCAUUAAGUUAGGCCAGGGAACAUUCUAAAAUUCUAGUAAGUACACAACAGUUAUGCCAGGGUACAGAUCCUUUAUAAUUUUUCUAAUAUUAUCAUGUGUUAAUGAACUACAGGUUCUAUUCCAAUGUGCUGCUUCUGUGCCUGCCAUUCCAUGAAGACUUGUAAACAACUAAAAGAACGGAAAUCAUCUUCAAUCUGGCUAUUGUUACUAAUUUUUUCCUGGAGGCUCUCCAUCCACUACUCGGCCUUAGAAAGAAAAAACCCAACAUAUUGGCUGAAGGGUACUUCCUUCUUGAACAAGUAAUGUUUGGAGGUACUUAGUACAGAGUUAUGACCAUUAGAUAAUUUCCAUACAAGGAAGAAUCAGAAGCCCUGAAUAAAAGCAUUUUUGAAAUAAUUAUCCA
This 845-nucleotide long non-coding RNA is filed under the name Calidris pugnax (ruff). RNAcentral describes it as "lncRNA (ENSCPUG00000008777.1)". The record is from RNAcentral. Lineage: Eukaryota; Metazoa; Chordata; Aves; Charadriiformes; Scolopacidae.